RNAcentral lists this ribosomal RNA (305 nucleotides) under uncultured bacterium. RNAcentral's name for it is "partial 16S ribosomal RNA". It matches the Rfam family "Bacterial small subunit ribosomal RNA", at positions 508 to 808 of the family's 1533-position model. The record is from RNAcentral.
ACAGCAGUAGCCGCGGUAACACGGAGGGUGCAAGCGUUAAUCGGAAUUACUGGGCGUAAAGCGCACGCAGGCGGUCUGACAAGUCAGAUGUGAAAUCCCCGGGCUUAACCUGGGAACUGCAUUUGAAACUGUCAGGCUGGAGUCUUGUAGAGGGGGGUGGAAUUCCAGGUGUAGCGGUGAAAUGCGUAGAGAUCUGGAGGAAUACCGGUGGCGAAGGCGGCCCCCUGGACAAAGACUGACGCUCAGGUGCGAAAGCGUGGGGAGCAAACAGGAUUAGAUACCCGCGUAGUCCCUGUCUCUUUACU